RNAcentral lists this small nuclear RNA (99 nucleotides) under Microcebus murinus (gray mouse lemur). The record is from RNAcentral. Lineage: Eukaryota; Metazoa; Chordata; Mammalia; Primates; Cheirogaleidae.
AUGCUCCCUUUGGCAGCACAUAUAUAAAAUUAGAAAGAUAGACGAUUAGCAUGGCCCCUGUGCAAAGACACACAAAUUUGUGAGGCAUUUUAUAUUUUU